Long non-coding RNA from Aedes albopictus (Asian tiger mosquito), 497 nucleotides. RefSeq lists it as uncharacterized. The record is from RefSeq and is a predicted model, not a curated record. Lineage: Eukaryota; Metazoa; Arthropoda; Insecta; Diptera; Culicidae. The transcript has 3 exons.
GAAAUGAACAUUAAUCUGCAGCACCACUAGAAACGCCUAAGCAUCUAUGAGAUUCCGAUGCCAUAUGAUGUUGCCAUACUGCAACAUUAAAUUGAACGAAAUUCGACUCCAUCAUCGGUUCCGUAUUAGCCAUUUUCAUCAGUGAUUGCCUCAUUUAUUUUGUUUUUGGAUGAAAUUACGAAUCGACGCGGACCUACAAGUACGUGACGCUGUCGUCAACAACAGCUUCGAAAUUGCGAGUAUGGCCGGGCCAUGAAAGAACAGCAUUCCCGUACCACAGCACCUCACCAACAUCGCAAUGAGGCACCUUGAAGAGGAAAAACAACAACGAUGACGCCACUCUCCAAGUGUCAGAAGGAAGGUGCUGGCACCCAACAAAAACAAAAGAUGUGCAAAUAAUGAAGCAGAUGGAAGGUGGCUGGUGGCGACUGAAUUCAUACACAUCCAAACACUUUUCGCUAAUGAACUGGGGAAAUUACAAGAAAAAGUAAUUUUAA